Pezoporus occidentalis (night parrot) is the source of this 1636-nucleotide long non-coding RNA. RefSeq lists it as uncharacterized. Lineage: Eukaryota; Metazoa; Chordata; Aves; Psittaciformes; Psittacidae. The record is from RefSeq and is a predicted model, not a curated record. The transcript has 3 exons.
CUCCCGGAUAAGUUAUUGCUGCUGUAGGGUAGGUGUCCCAUUGCUCAGGGCUAGAGCGGAGGGGAGCGAAGGGGAAGUUUCUUGGGAAGCACUCCCAUUGUGCUCAGAAAGAAAGUGGCUCAGUGUCCUCCUAAUGCAUCUCAUUUCCCCUCUGCCCUCUCUCCCUUGCCAGGACUCGCCAGAUCUUGGGAGUUUCUUGCUGCAUUAAUUUACUAAACUAAAAAAAAAAAUAAAAAAAAUUGGGGGGGGAAGGAGGAGGAGGUGGAGAAGAGGGAAGGCAGAGGGGAGGGGGGAGCUCGAUCUCUCCACCAUCCCGAGGCCCUCCUCUUAGCUGUCCUCAUUGGUCUCAGGGCUGAAAAAACUACUCUAGGACGCGGUUGGAUAAACGCAUGCUGUUCGGCAGCAGCUGUUAACCUUUAAAGCGCUGACACGUUUUGGUUUAUUUCAUUUUUUUUCCUACACGAAUUGCUGUCUUUUUAAGAAGUCUCUGAAAUUGUCUCCCUUGACAGGGCAAGCGUAGCCUGCCUUAAGUCUCCAUCUCGUGGAAGAUCUGCUUGGUUGGCAGUUGCUAUUUGUUGCUGUUGGCUUUUAAGGAACAUCUCUGGGUUAUUGGCUUUUUUUGUUUGUUUGUUUUGUGUUUGUGUGGUGAUUUUUUUGUUGUUUUUUUCUUUUCUUUGUUUUAUUUGAUUAUUUUUGUUCCCUUUUGCAUUCGGUUUUGCAGAGAAGUUUGGCAAAUACCAGAGCCAUCAAGGUCAGGGAAGGCCCUCCAUCCUUCUACUGAUGCUGUUGACCUGGGUUCCUCGUGUGCUCCUCUGUACUCUACCACACUGCAAAAUUUGACUUCUCUACUCUCUACUGUGUCUGAUCGCAGCCUUUCCCCAUCCAUAGGAUGCUAUCUUCAGUCCUGUCCGAGCAGAUGCAGAGCAACCAACCCCUUUUUUCCUGAGGACAAAUCACUUCCAAGUACUGUCUGGAUGAGCAUGAAGAAUGCGAAUAUGAAUACAGACAAUUAUGAUGGAGUAGAGGCCUUGUAAAUUUAUACCCAAACUUACCCCCUGGUAACUCAUUCAUCUGCCUGUCUUGACAAGGAUGCAUGUGAAAUAGUGGGACAAUAAAAGAUUUUGUUAUGCUGAAAGAUGUUAAUAGCUGGCCUCAGGGUGAGCUGGGUUUCCAAGACAAUCACAAAUAAUGCAGAUAACACUGGGGAGGCUCAGGAGAAUGAAUACUUAAACCUUUAUUUUGUAAAAUAGAGAGGCAUGCUCUAUCUCAGUGAGGGUUGUCUACACGUAUAAGUUUUACAAGAUCUAUUUUUAUGGAAAAGUCCUUCAUGAGACAGGGUAUCUGAACUGCUGGCUACACACAUGGAAAUAUCCAGCAAAGGUAAUUAUGGGUGACUGCCUCAGCGAGUGAAGGUCUAAAGACAUGUCAGAGGGCACUGGGAAUCAGCCCCUUCUGCACCUCUUGCAACACAGCAUUCUGCCUGUGUGUCUGCAGCAGCACACUUGGAACAAAAGGAGAUCUUGACAAAGAAAUAUUGCAUGUAACUACUUUGGCAGCCUUUGGAUGUCAGAGAUGUGCUUCAAAAAAGUUUUCUUAAAAUUCAGUCUUUUGGAAAGGAGGUUAUAAUACAGAUCUG